AUGGUUUCGCUCAGAAGUAGGAAGACCUUCUAUCCUGGGGCGAUCCGGCUUGGUACAACCAGGGCCUAUCUCUUCGACAGCGAACAUGUUCUUAUAGAUUCUCGUGCGCGCCGGACCGGUGAAGUAUUCAUCCAGGGAACGGUUGUCAUGUUCCCCUGCCAUCUUGCGAACAUCACCACCGGUGACCAAGGAGUUGAUGCGGCAGGUUCUAUGUGCGCACACGACUCAGGCCAUGGAGAAGAUGCUGCUGGUGGAUGCGAUGGCUCGGAAGUGGAAGAAGCUGCCAGUAUGCACGCGGGCCUCGGACGUGCUCGUGGUGCACAUGAUGUCGUGCUUAAACGCAUGCGUGCGGCGCUACUUGCUGGUCCUGUCGUCGGGCGUGGCCAUGGAGGUGACGACAAUGCCGUCGGGGACGCCAGUGACGCUCGACGUGGUCGUCGACGCUUGGGCUUGGCUGGUCGCAGCAGAAUGCGCCCGGCUCUGACGAAGUGGCAAGGCGGCCUUACCGAAGUUGUUCCAUCUUCGCUAAAUGGCAGCAGCAAUGAUGCAACCAGCCCUGCCAACGUUAACCAAGGUGACUGUACAGAAAGUGUUCCAUCUUUAGUAAAUGGCAGCGGCAAUGAUGCAACCGGCCCCGCCGGCAACGUUAACCCAUGCAUCCAUGUGGAGUUGAACAAAGGUGUUGUUCCAGAGAGUGACCCUGGAGUACAAGCUGAAGUAGCUGACACCGGCAGCAACAAUGGCUCAAAUGCUAAUCAAAAAAAGAAGCGAAGAUGGUACCCAGACCAUCAAAAGCAAGAAAUUUAUGCUAUGCUAUUAGAGCGGACAAAUCAAGGCGUACUAAACCAAGGGGUGGUUGACGAGGUGGCAGAGCUUUGUCAAGUUAAUUACCGGACUGUUCAAAACAUAUGGUCGAUAGGCAAGAAAGCCGGUGGUAUUCAUGGAGUAGCAAACAAAAGGGUGAAAACUUGUGGCCGCAAGAAGAUACCGUUUGAUUCAGAUGCCAUAAAAAAGAUUGAAUUGAGCAAAAGAACUACGCUCAAAGAUCUUGCUAAUGAGCUUCAAAUGGCGAAGACAACUUUAUGGAGAAGGUUGAAGGAGGGCAGACUGAAGCGCCAUACAAAUUCAAUUAAAUCCACAUUGACUGAUGACAACAAGGUGGGUCGGAUUCGGUUUUGUUUAUCCAUGUUGGAUGAGCUAAGUGUGCCCGAAGAACCCAGAUUUAAAGGCAUGUACAAUGUCAUUCACAUUGAUGAGAAGUGGUUCUACCGCACUAAAGGUACCCAGAACUACUACUUGGCACCUGAUGAAGAAGAACCCUAUCGCAGCACACAGAGCAAGGGAUUUAUCGAGAAAGUGAUGUUCUUGGCAGCAGUAGCAAGGCCUCGUUAUGAUGAUCAUGGUGUCAUGACUUUUGAUGGCAAGAUUGGAAUUUGGCCAUUCACAUAUCAGGACUUUGCAAAGAGGCGUAGCCCUUACCGAGAGAGGGGGGAAGAGGUAACCAAGGUUUUGCCGUUGGUGACGAAGGAUGUCAGUAGAGAUUAUAUGGUGAACAAGCUGCUACCUGCCAUCAAGGCUUUGUGGCCGGCUUCGGAACGCGGACGCAUAAUAUACAUUCAGCAAGAUAAUGCAAAGACCCAUAUUGCUGUGAAUGACAGUGUGUUUUGUGCAGCGGCACAGGCGGAUGGAUGGGAUAUUAGGCUUACAUGUCAGCCGCCGAACUCACCUGAUUUGAACAUUCUUGACUUAGGAUUCUUUGCUGCACUUCAGGCUCUUUUUGAGAAGAUGUCCCCUGGUAAAAUUGCUGAUAUUGUUGCAAAGGUGAAAAAAGCAUAUGACACCUACCCGGCUGAGAGAAGCAACCGUAUUUUUCUUACCCUUCAGUCAUGCAUGUGCGAGGUACUGAAGCAGAAAGGAGGUAACCGGUACAAGGUUCCGCACAUGAGGAAGUCAUUUCUGGCGGCACUCGAAAUGCUUCCGGACGUAGUACCCUGCGAUGCUGAUGUUGUAAUUGCUGCUAUUGAAGCCCUUCCAGAUGCUUGA
This 2043-nucleotide ribosomal RNA is filed under the name Triticum aestivum (bread wheat). RNAcentral describes it as "partial small subunit ribosomal RNA". The record is from RNAcentral. Lineage: Eukaryota; Viridiplantae; Streptophyta; Magnoliopsida; Poales; Poaceae.